This 73-nucleotide transfer RNA is filed under the name Candidatus Kaiserbacteria bacterium. RNAcentral describes it as "tRNA-Lys". It matches the Rfam family "tRNA". From Rfam's summary of the family: Transfer RNA (tRNA) molecules are approximately 80 nucleotides in length. Their secondary structure includes four short double-helical elements and three loops (D, anti-codon, and T loops). Lineage: Bacteria; Candidatus Kaiseribacteriota. The record is from RNAcentral.
CCGCCCAUAGCUCAGCUGGUAGAGCAGAUCGCUCUUAACGAUAAGGUCCCAGGUUCGAUCCCUGGUGGGCGGA